UUGGACUGAUAUCAGGCAAGUA
RNAcentral lists this ribosomal RNA (22 nucleotides) under Phytophthora citrophthora. RNAcentral's name for it is "partial 28S ribosomal RNA". Lineage: Eukaryota; Oomycota; Peronosporomycetes; Peronosporales; Peronosporaceae. The record is from RNAcentral.